RNAcentral lists this small nuclear RNA (20 nucleotides) under Arabidopsis thaliana (thale cress). RNAcentral's name for it is "snRNA_06264". Lineage: Eukaryota; Viridiplantae; Streptophyta; Magnoliopsida; Brassicales; Brassicaceae. The record is from RNAcentral.
UAAGUUGAUCAAACGGCUUA